Molecule: long non-coding RNA, 596 nt
Organism: Ornithodoros turicata
Lineage: Eukaryota; Metazoa; Arthropoda; Arachnida; Ixodida; Argasidae
Exons: 4
Source: RefSeq, a predicted model, not a curated record
CUUCCAUUGUUUCAUUCAGUCACACAACGGGAAUCAAUCACAACUUGCGACCGGUUAUAUAAACGUUCCUGUGUCCUAACGUACAGCAGACUUUCGGGAGGUACCGCUGCUUGUGAAAAGAAGACUUGGCCAAAGAAAACAGACUGAUCAGUUCAUCACCAAGGUCUGAUUCGGAAUGGCACGGGCUUACGUCGUUCUCUUGCUGAUGGGUUGUGUGAUCUUGCUGAUCUAUGCUGUGGGUGGCAUACCAGUUACGUCCAAAGAUGGCAAUGACGCUUACAGCCGUGCAAACCAUAGAACAACAGUCUGCAACCUGGGUUCGUGCCAGACACAAAAUUUGGCAUCUUGGUUAGCUGAACCCGAACUAGAGCAUUCCGGUGGAACAGGCGCACACAGCUACGGCCGGCGAAAAAGAAGAUCCGUCCCUGAUAAAAAGCAGCUUGUGCACCUCUUGAGAGGUAGUGCUAGACACUGAUGAAUGUGGAACCAUCGAACCAUAUCCGACGAUGAAUCAUUGUGACAAGGUGCUUCAACCUCCUACUUUGUCACUUGCGGUACCUUGGGAAUAAAUAUAUUUUAAUAUUGCAAGAACGCAA